UACCCUUGACAUGUCAGGGACGGGGCAGAGAUGCCCUGGUGCCCGAAAGGGAACCUGAACACAGGUGCUGCAUGGCUGUCGUCAGCUCGUGUCGUGAGAUGUUGGGUUAAGUCCCGCAACGAGCGCAACCCUUGCCAUUAGUUGCUACAUUCAGUUGGGCACUCUAAUGGGACUGCCGGUGACAAACCGGAGGAAGGUGGGGAUGACGUUACGGCAUUAGCCA
Molecule: unclassified non-coding RNA, 223 nt
Filed under: uncultured Gammaproteobacteria bacterium
Lineage: Bacteria; Pseudomonadati; Pseudomonadota; Gammaproteobacteria
Description: contains 16S-23S intergenic spacer region
Rfam family: Bacterial small subunit ribosomal RNA
Source: RNAcentral